AUUCUUCGGAGGAAUGAAGAGAUGGAGAGCGGCGGACGGGUGAGUAACGCGUAGGCAACCUGCCCUUUGCAGAGGGAUAGCCACUGGAAACGGUGAUUAAAACCUCAUAAUACUGAAGGUUCACAUGGACAUUUGGUCAAAGAUUUAUCGGCAAAGGAUGGGCCUGCGUCUGAUUAGCUAGUUGGUGAGGUAACGGCUCACCAAGGCAACGAUCAGUAGCCGACCUGAGAGGGUAAUCGGCCACAUUGGAACUGAGACACGGUCCAAACUCC
Molecule: ribosomal RNA, 272 nt
Filed under: uncultured Anaerovorax sp.
Lineage: Bacteria; Bacillati; Bacillota; Clostridia; Peptostreptococcales; Anaerovoracaceae
Description: partial 16S ribosomal RNA
Rfam family: Bacterial small subunit ribosomal RNA
Source: RNAcentral